ACUACGGGUGGCUGCAGUGAGGAAUAUUGGACAAUGGUCGGAAGACUGAUCCAGCCAUGCCGCGUGCAGGAAGACGGCCUUAUGGGUUGUAAACUGCUUUUGCAGGGGAAGAAUAAGGACUACGAGUAGUUUGAUGACGGUACUCUGCGAAUAAGCAUCGGCUAACUCCGUGCCAGCAGCCGCGGUAAUACGGAGGAUGCGAGCGUUAUCCGGAAUCAUUGGGUUUAAAGGGUCCGUAGGCGGGCUAAUAAGUCAGAGGUGAAAGCGCUCAGCUCAACUGAGCAACUGCCUUUGAAACUGUUAGUCUUGAAUGGUUGUGAAGUAAUUGGAAUGUGUAGUGUGGCGGUGAAAUGCUUAGAUAUUACACAGAACACCGAUAGCGAAGGCAUAUUACUAACAAUUAAUUGACGCUGAUGGACGAAAGCGUGGGGAGCGAACAGGAUUAGAUACCCGGGUAGUC
Molecule: ribosomal RNA, 460 nt
Filed under: uncultured bacterium
Lineage: Bacteria
Description: bacterial SSU rRNA
Rfam family: Bacterial small subunit ribosomal RNA
Source: RNAcentral